GGGAGAUACAGGGAGGGAGAGAUGGAGAGAGAUAGAGGGAUAAAGAGAUAUAGAGAGGGAGAUACAGAGAGAUGGAGAUACAGAGAUAGAGAGAGAGGGAGAUAUAGAGAGAUACAGAGAGAGAGAGGGAGAUAUGGGGGGAGAGAUGGGGGGAGAGAGAGAUAUAGAGAUAGAGGGAGAUACAGAGAGAGAGGGAGAGAUGGAGGGAGAUGGAGGGAGAUAUAGAGAUAGAGAGAGGGAAAUAUAGAGGUAGAGAGGGAGAUAGAGGGGGAGAGAUAGAUAUAGAGAUAGAGGGAGAUGGAGGGAUAUAGAGGGAUAUAGAGAGAUACAGAGGGAGAGAUAGAGAUAGAGGGAGAGAUAGAGAGAGAUAUAGGGGGAGAGAUAGAGAUGGAGGGAGAUAGAGAGAGAUAUAGAGGGAUAGAGGGAGAUACAGAGGGAGAUGGAGAGAUGGAAGGAGGGGGAGAUAUAGGGGGAGAGAUGGAGGGAGAUAGAGGGAAAUAGAGAGAGAGAGAUAUAGAGGGAUACAGAGGGAGAUAGAGAGAUGGGGGAGAUAUACAGAGGGACAUAGAGGGAGAUAGAGAGAGAGAGGGAGAUAGAGAGAUAGAGAGGGAGAUACAGAGAGAUACAGAGAUGGAGGGAGAGAUAUAGAGAUGGAGAUAUAGAGAGAGAUAGAGAGAUAGAUAGAGAUACAGAGAGAGAUAUAGAGAGAGAUAGAGGGAAAUAGAGAGAGGGAGAUAGGGAAAUAUAGAGAUAGAUAUAGAGGGAGAGAUAGAGAUGGGGGGAGAGAGAGAGAAAGGGGGAUAUAGAGGGGGAGAUGGAGAUAGAGGGAGAUGGAGAUAGGGAGGGAGAUAUAGAGAUACAGAGGGAGAUAUAGAGAUACAGAGGGAGAUAUAGAGAGAGAGAGAGAGAUAGGGGGAGAGAUAGAGAGAUAGAGAUAGAGGGAGAGAUGGAGGGAGAGAGAUGGAGGGGGAUAUAGAGAUAGAGGGAGAUAUAGAGAGAGAUAUACAGGGAGAGAUAGAGAUAGAGGGAGAGAUGGAGAGAGAGAUAGAGGGAGAUAUAGAGAGAGAGGGAUAUAGAGGGGAUAUAGAGAGAUAGAGGGAGAUAGAGGGGGAGAUACAGGGGUGGAUAUAGAGGGGAUAUAGAGAUAGAGAUAUGGAGGGAGAGAGAGAUGGAGGGAGAGAGAGAUGGAGGGAGAGAGAUAGGGGGAGAUAUAGAGAGAGAUAGGGGGAGAGAUAGGGAUAGAGGGAGAGAUAGGGGGAGAUAGAGGGGGAUAUAGAGGGAGAGAUGGAGAUAUAGAGAGAUAGAGGGAGGUAUAGGGAUAGAGGGGGAGAUGAUAGAGAUACAGAGGGAUAUAGAGGGGAUAUAGAGAGAUAGAGGGAGAUAGGUAGAGAGAGGGAGAUAGGGAGAUAGAGGGAAAGAUGGAGGGAGAGAUGGAGAUGGAAGGAGAUAUGGAGAUGGAGGGAGAGAGAGAGGGAGAGAUAGAGGGAUAUAGAGAGAUAUAGAGGGAUACAGAGGGAGAUACAGAGAUAGAGGGAGAGAUGGAGGGAGAUAUAGGGGGAGAUAUAGGGGGAGAUGAUAUAGGGG
Long non-coding RNA from Gallus gallus (chicken), 1584 nucleotides. Lineage: Eukaryota; Metazoa; Chordata; Aves; Galliformes; Phasianidae. The record is from Ensembl.